AUUAGGGUGGCAGAGCCCGGAUAUUGCAUAAGAUUUAAAACCUUUCAACAGAGGUUCAACUCCUCUCCCUAAUA
Molecule: transfer RNA, 74 nt
Filed under: Oligoryzomys stramineus
Lineage: Eukaryota; Metazoa; Chordata; Mammalia; Rodentia; Cricetidae
Description: tRNA-Leu
Rfam family: tRNA
About the family: Transfer RNA (tRNA) molecules are approximately 80 nucleotides in length. Their secondary structure includes four short double-helical elements and three loops (D, anti-codon, and T loops). Further hydrogen bonds mediate the characteristic L-shaped molecular structure. tRNAs have two regions of fundamental functional importance: the anti-codon, which is responsible for specific mRNA codon recognition, and the 3' end, to which the tRNAs corresponding amino acid is attached (by aminoacyl-tRNA synthetases). tRNAs cope with the degeneracy of the genetic code in two manners: having more than one tRNA (with a specific anti-codon) for a particular amino acid; and 'wobble' base-pairing, i.e. permitting non-standard base-pairing at the 3rd anti-codon position.
Source: RNAcentral